This 563-nucleotide ribosomal RNA is filed under the name uncultured bacterium. RNAcentral's name for it is "bacterial SSU rRNA". It matches the Rfam family "Bacterial small subunit ribosomal RNA", at positions 224 to 783 of the family's 1533-position model. The record is from RNAcentral.
GAUGGGCAUGCGUGACAUUAGCUAGUUGGUGAGGUAACGGCCCACCAAGGCAACGAUGUCUAGGGGUCCUGAGAGGGUUAACCCCCACACUGGUACUGAGACACGGACCAGACUCCUACGGGAGGCAGCAGUAAGGAAUAUUGGGCAAUGGACGCAAGUCUGACCCAGCCAUGCCGCGUGAAGGAUGAAUGUCCUAUGGAUUGUAAACUUCUUUUAUGCAGGAAAAACAUCCCGGUCGUGAACCGGGACUGAUGGUACUGUAUGAAUAAGCAUCGGCUAACUCCGUGCCAGCAGCCGCGGUAAUACGGAGGAUGCAAGCGUUAUCCGGAUUCAUUGGGUUUAAAGGGUGCGCAGGCGGAAUAAUAAGUCAGUGGUGAAAUCUCCCGGCUCAACCGGGAAACUGCCAUUGAUACUGUUGUUCUUGAGUACAGUUGAAGUGGGCGGAAUGUGUCAUGUAGCGGUGAAAUGCUUAGAUAUGACACAGAACACCGAUAGCGAAGGCAGCUCACUAAGCUGUAACUGACGCUCAUGCACGAAAGCGUGGGGAUCAAACAGGAUUAGAU